This 468-nucleotide ribosomal RNA is filed under the name uncultured bacterium. RNAcentral's name for it is "partial 16S ribosomal RNA". It matches the Rfam family "Bacterial small subunit ribosomal RNA", at positions 28 to 507 of the family's 1533-position model. The record is from RNAcentral.
GACGAACGCUGGCGGCGUGCUUAACACAUGCAAGUCGAACGGAAAGGCCCUGCUUUUGUGGGGUGCUCGAGUGGCGAACGGGUGAGUAACACGUGAGUAACCUGCCCUUGACUUUGGGAUAACUUCAGGAAACUGGGGCUAAUACCGGAUAGGAGCUCCUGCUGCAUGGUGGGGGUUGGAAAGUUUCGGCGGUUGGGGAUGGACUCGCGGCUUAUCAGCUUGUUGGUGGGGUAGUGGCUUACCAAGGCUUUGACGGGUAGCCGGCCUGAGAGGGUGACCGGCCACAUUGGGACUGAGAUACGGCCCAGACUCCUACGGGAGGCCGCAGUGGGGAAUAUUGCACCAUGGGCGGAAGCCUGAUGCAGCAACGCCGCGUGCGGGAUGACGGCCUUCGGGUUGUAAACCGCUUUCGCCUGUGACGAAGCGUGAGUGACGGUAAUGGGUAAAGAAGCACCGGCUAACUACGUG